AUGCGAAAGCGAGGAUCCACGUGUCAUUUUCGAGAAUACGCGGCGAGAAAUGAGCUUCCUCAAAGUGCUCAUUAUCAACUACGAUACCACUUUUAUUCAGAAUGUAUCCUAAAUUGUUUAUCGGGUUUUGGAGAAUUUUGGUGCUGAAAAUUGGCAUUUUCAAGUUUUUGAAUUCAGAAAAUUCUUGAAAAAGCGUGAAAAUAACGCAAUUUGAAACUGCAAAAAAUUGUUUCGAAUCGGCUGAAAAUUCGAAUUUUGGACUUAAAAAAUUUGAAUUUUGGACUAAAAAAAUUCGAAUUGUGGACUAAAAAAUUCGAAUUUUGGACUGAAAAAUUCGAAUUUUGGACUGAAAAAACUCGAAUUUUGGACUGAAAAUAUUCGAAUUUUGGACUUAAAAAUUCGAAUUUUGGACUAAAAAUAUUCGAAUUUUGGACUAAAAAAUUUGAAUUUUGGACUUAAAAAAUUUGAAUUUUGGACUAAAAAAAUUCGAAUUGUGGACUAAAAAAUUCGAAUUUUGGACUGAAAGUUCGAAUUUUGGACUGAAAAAUUCAAAUUUUGGACUAAAAAAUUCGAAUUUUGGACUAAAAAUUCGAAUUUUGAACUGAAAAAAUUCGAAUUUUGGACUAAAAAAAUUCGAAUUUUGGACUAAAAGUUCAGCAUUUUUGGUAUUAAAUCUAAAAUUACACAAGUUUAUCAAUUAAAAAAAAAGAAUUUUUUAACUUAAAAAUCGCGCCGAAAAACAUGAAAAUUUCCCUUUUUUUGCACCAAAAUUCCACCAAAAUCCAAAAUUUCCCCCCACCAUUUUUCUGCAAUUUUUUUUAUUUCCUUGAUUAUUUUUCCAUUUUUUAACAAAAAAAAAAUUACCUUCCAUUCGAUCUCACACUAUCUCCCCAAUAUUUUUUUCUGGAUGAAGGAGAUUUCCCGUUUCUCCCGAGCUACUAGUCAUUGAUUUUUCCCCAUUUUUUUUGCCCACAAAAAUCCCCCAUUUUCACUGCAUAAUACUAUUUAUAUAGCCUAAUUCUUCCCAGAAAAAAAUUCACAAAUCAAAUUCAGUUUUUUUUUAAAUUUUUUAAAUUUUAUCCCCAAUUUUUAUCGAAAAUUCGCUUAUCACCUCUUCUGUCCGAAAUUUGCCUUUUUUUUUAAUUUUAAUUAUUUUUCUUUUUAAGUUCAGAAAAAAAAACCGAAAAAAAAUGUAUAAAAAUCAAUAAUAAAUUUGAUAAAAUUAAAAAUUUUUUUAAUUUUUUAAAAAAUUGUUAUUCUGUUGUAAUCUCUGAAUUUUCCUAUUUUUAUUACCAAUUUUUAACUGAGUUUUUCAGAUUUUUGCCAAUUUUAAGGUUACAAAAAAUAUGGAUAUCGAAGAUAUCGUUGGACGAGGACCAGUUGGGAGCAGAGAUGCAAAUGAGAUUAAAAUUCGGUAAAAAUUUGAGAUUUUGUAUCAAAAAAUUGCGAAAAAUUAUAGUUUUUCUGAAAAAAAACCAAGAAAUUUGGGAAAACAUAAUUUUUAAAGUUAUAAAAAUAACUUACCUAUUCGAAAAUUCUCGAAAAUGAUUUUACCUUAUUUUUCUAAAUUUUCUAAAUUUUAAGCUUAAGUUUGUAUAACUUCCCAAAAAAAUUUUUUAAAAAUUUUUUGGUGAAAGCUGUGUUCUCACCUCUUUUUGACUAUAACAUUUUUUUAAAAAUCCAAGUUUUUUCGAAAAAUUGCAGGACAUUUAAAUUUUGGCAGUUUGCCAAUUUGCCAGAAUUUUCAAUUCCAGAAAUUUGCCCAUUUGCCGGAAAUUUUCAAUUCCGACAAUUGGCCUUUUUUUCCGAAAAUUUAAAUUCCGGCAAUUGGCCGAUUUGCCCGAAAUUUUCUAUUCCGGCAAUUUGCCGAUUUGCUGGAAAUUUCAAUUCCGGCAAAUUGUCGUUUUUCCGGAAAUUUCAAUUCCGACAAUUUGCCGGAAAUUUUAAAUUCCGGCGAUUUGCCGAUUUGCCGGAAAUUUUAAAUUCCGACAAUUUGCCGUUUUUCCGAAAAUUUAAAUUCCGGCAAAUUGUCGUUUUUCCGGAAAUUUAAAUUCCGGCAAUUUGCCGAUUUGCCGGAAUAUUCAAUUCCGAUAAUUUGCCGGAAAUUUUAAAUUCCGGGAAUUUGCCGAUUUGCUGGAAAUUUUCUAUUCCGGCCAUUUGCUGAGUUGCCAUAAAUUUCAAUUCCGGCAAUUUGCCGAUUUGUCCGAAAUUUUCUAUUCCGGCAAAUUGUCGUUUUUCCGGAAAUUUCAAUUCCGAUAAUUUGCCAAUUUGCCGGAAAUUUUAAAUUCCGGCAAUUUGCCGAUUUGCCCGAAAUUUUCAAUUCCGGCAAAUUGCCGAUUUGCCCGAAAUUUUCAAUUCCGGCAAUUUGCUGACUUGCCAUAAAUUUCAAUUCCGGCAAUUUGCCGAUUUGCCCGAAAUUUUCUAUUCCGGCAAAUUGCAGUUUUUCCGGAAAUUUUAAUUCCGGUAAUUUGAUGAUUUGCCGGAAAUUUCAAUUCCGGCAGUUUGCCGAUAUGCCGGAAAUUUUCAAUUCCGGCAGUUUGUCGAUUUGCCGAUUUGCCGGAAAUUUUAAAUUCCGGUAUUUUGCCGAUUUGCCGGAAUAUUAAAUUCUGGCAAUUUGCCGUUUUUCCGGAAAUUUUAAACUCCGGUAUUUUGCCGAUUUGCCGGAAAAUAUAUAAUUCAUUUGCAGAACCCGUAAACAAGUGCCAAAAGAGCAACAACCAGACGAUGCAAACGUUGAUUCAAUGGUUCCGGGUGUCGGACAAAAAGUAUGGGUCCGUACGUGGGGAUGUUCUCAUAAUACUUCAGAUUCUGAAUAUAUGAGUGGUCUACUUCAACAAGCCGGAUAUGAUGUUGUUAAAGGUUUCUCUAUUAUAUUUGGAAUUUACUUAAAUGUAACAUUUAAAAAACUGUUCUUAAAAAACCGAAAAAAAAUUUUCAACUAGAAAAAUAUUUUUCUGAAAAAAAGUUCUUUAUUUUGCCCAAAAAUCAAUAACUUUUCAUAAAAAGUAUUUUCGAAAAAAGAAAUGUUUUUAAAGAACGAAAAGAAUUUCCCAAUAAAAAAAAAAUUUAAAAAAAAAACAUUUUCAUUCUGAAUUUUUUCCUUUUUUUUUUCCGAAAAACUGAAAAACAAAAAAAAAAUUAAAAAUACUGAAUAAAAAUUAAUUUCUUGGAAUUUUUUCGAGUUUUAACGAAAAAAAAAGCUGAAAAACGCAAAAAUUUCGAAAUUUCAACCGAAACCGAAAUCUGGGAAAUAUUUUAAAAUGACUCCCUGAUUCCGAAUAUCGAUGUGAAAAAAUUCAAAAAAAUUUCCCUGAUUUUAUAUUUCAGCUUGAAAUCACCGAAUUUCAUUUGUGCCACCCCGUCUAUUUUUUCAAAUGCGCGCCCAAAAAAAAUUUGCGUUGGAGCGCGCUUGCAUCGUUUGAUGUUCUUCAUUUAAAUAUUUUAUUUAUUUUUCGCCGAAUUCAGCUUUUUUUUACCAGUUUCUUUCAUUUUUGUCGAAAAAAAAUUUUUUAGAAAAAUAUUCGACAAAAAUGAAUGAAAAAAAAAAGUUGAAUUCGGCGAAAAAUAAAUAAAAUAUUUAAAUGAAGAAAAUGAAACGAUGCAAGCGCGCUCCAAUGCGAAUUUUUUUGGGCGCGCAUUUGAAAAAAGUGAUGCGGGGGCACAAAUGAAAUUCGGCGAUUUCAAGCUGAAAUAUAAAAUCAGGGAAAUUUUUUUGAAUUUUUUCACAUAGAUAUUCGAAAUCAGGGAGUCAUUUUCGGUUGAAAUUUCGAAAUUUUUGCGUUUUUCAGCUUUUUUUUUCGUUAAAACUCGAAAAAAUUCCAAAAAAUUAAUUUUUAUUCAGUUUAAAAAUUUUUUGCGGGAUAAUGCAUCAGCUAUUUUUAAUUUUUUUUUGUUUUUCAGUUUUUCGGAAAAAAAAAGAAAAAAAUUCAAAAUGAAAAUGUUUUUUUUUUGAAAUUUUUUUUUUAUAUGGCUGCAAUACUAUUUUUCGAUGGCCUUCCCGCUUGCAAUACUAAUAGGGAGGCCAUAUUAAUAGAAGAAAUACAGUAACUGAAAAACAAAAAAAAUUAAUUUUUUAACUGAAUAAAAAUUUAUUUUUAGGAUUUUUUUUUUGAGUUUUAACGAAAAAAAAAGGUGAAAAACGCAAAAAUGCCGAAAUUUCAAAAAUUGAAGUACCGAAAUUUGGGAAAUAUUAUUAAUUUACUCCAAAUUUUCCCCUGAUUCCGAAUAUCUAAGUGAAAAAAAAAUUAAAAUUCAAAAAAAAUCCCCUGAUUUUAUAUUUAAGCUUAAAAUCGCUUGUACACCCAUGAGAUUUCGAAUUUUCGCGCCAAAGAUGCCAUGUGUGUGUCGAUUUACGAAAUUUUAAAUCUUUAUCGGAUGCUGAUUUCCGAUAAAGAUUUAAAAUUUCGUAAAUCGACACACACAUGGCAUCUUUGGCGCGAAAAUUCGAAAUCUCAUGGGUGUACAAGCGAUUUUAAGCUUAAAUAUAAAAUCAGGGGAUUUUUUUUGAAUUUUAAUUUUUUUUUCACUUAGAUAUUCGGAAUCGGGAAAAUUUGGAGUAAAUUAAUAAUAUUUCCCAAAUUUCGGUACUUCAAUUUUUGAAAUUUCGGCAUUUUUGCGUUUUUCACCUUUUUUUUUCGUUAAAACUCAAAAAAAAAAUCCUAAAAAUAAAUUUUUAUUCAGUUAAAAAAUUAAUUUUUUUUGUUUUUCAGUUACUGUAUUUCUUCUAUUAAUAUGGCCUCCCUAUUAGUAUUGCAAGCGGGAAGGCCAUCGAAAAAUAGUAUUGCAGCCAUAUUAAUAGAAGAAAUACGGUAUAUUGGGCAAAAUUUUAAGAAACGGUUUUAUUUUUGAGAAACAUCGAUUUUUUAGUUGGGAAAUUUUUUUAAUUGAGUCCAAAUGCUCCCCUGAUUUCGAAUAUCUAUGCGAAAAAAUUCAAAAAAUUUUCCCAGAUUUUAUAUUUCAGCUUGAAAUCACCGAAUUUCAUUUGUGCACCCCCCCCCCCCCCUAAUUCUCAUUGGAGCGCGCUUGCAUCGUGUCCAGGGCUGUUGCAAAAAAAAUUUUCGACCAAAAAACAAAAAAAAUUCAAUGUUUGAUAUGAAACGGGACAAAACCGAAAAUUUUCAUGAAAUAUUCUGUUGAUUCUUCAUAAAAUAUUAAAAAUUGAACAAACGGAAGGUUUUUUGUUCUUAUUUGUUUAAUUUUGGCUGAAUCAAUGUUGUAAUUUAUUUUUUGUUUUUUUGGUCUCAAAAAACCAAAAAAACAGCCCUAAUCGUGUCGAUUUGCGGGAGCUCUCCAUUUAUUCAAUUUCUUUCGUGCUGCUUUUUUUUUAGUUUUCAGCGUGUUUCUUUCAUUUAUGUCGGUUUUUUUUAACAACAAAUAUUUUUUUAAUAUGAUUUAAUUUAUUAUGAUUUUUAGUCGUUUAGACAAAUAAUAUGCACAACAGGCAAAAAAUAAUAGAAAAAUAAAAAAAAAACCGACAAAAACCGACGUAAAUGAAAGAAACACGCUGUAAACUAAAAAAAAAAAGCAAAACGAACGAAAUUGAGAAAAAGAAAAACAUUUUCUUAUCGAAUUUUGAGAGCAGCAGUUUUUCAGUUUUCCAUCGCUUUUUCGUAUUUUUUUUUCUAAUUUCUAUGCUUUAUUAUAUGUAAAUCGACACAAAAGCUACGGUAGCAUUUAGCAAAUUCUUACUGUAGUUUUCGCUAAGAGAUAUCGCGCGUCAAAUAAAAUGCUCCACGACGUACGCAUUCUCAUGAUUUAUUGUUCCCGUAAUAUAAAAUCAGGGAAAUUUUGCUAACCAUCUGUUUUUGACCAAAACACCAAAAAAUCAGUAAUUACAACAAAAAAAAAUUUAAGUUAAGCCAGAAAAAAUAUGGAAAAUUGAUAUUCUUAGAAAAAUAACUUUAAAAAAAAACCAUAUUUUUUUAGUUUUUUAGUUACGGGAAAACUCAGAUUCUUUGAAGAAAAAUUCGUAAAAAAUAAAAAAAAAAUUAAUUUCCCACAAUAUUGAAAAUUGAUUUUUUGAGCUUCAAUUAAAAAUUUAGAAGUUUAUAAAGUUAGUGAAAAAAUUGAAAAUUCCUGUUUUUUACAACUCUGCUUUUUUCCUUAAAAUUUAAACUUUUUAGGACAAAAACCUUAAAAUAUGGAGGUUCAUAUUACAGCACCACAAAACUCAGAAUGCGUAUUGCACAACAUAUUUGACGCGCAAAAUUAUUAAUAUCUCGUAGCGAAAACUACAGUAUUUUUUUGAAUGACUACUGUGUAGAUUUACGGAAUUUCGAUUUUUUUUCCAAUUUUUGUAAUAUUUUUCGUCAUUUUUGUGUUUUUAAAUAAUAAUUUAUUGAUUAAUAAAAGAUAUUCGUAAAUCGACUGUAUAUAUUUUAUUAAUCAAUAAAUUAUUAUUUAAAAACACAAAAAUGGCGAAAAAAAAUUACGAAAAUUGAGAAAAAAAAUCGAAAUUCCGUAAAUCGACACAGUAGACAUUUAUUUGACUCUAAAUGUCUACUGUGUAGAUUUACGAAAACUACAAUAACCCUCUAAAUUUUAGAGGAUUACUGUAGUUUUCGCUACGAGAUAUUUUGCGCGCGUCAAAUAUGUUGUGUAAUACGCAUUCUCAAAAUUUUUUGGUCCCGUAAUACGGGAUUUUUGUUGAAAAAACUUCCUCAAACUUCCACUUUAGCUGAAAAUUAAAUUUUUCGAUAGGAAAAUUUAUGAUUUUUUAAUUUUUUAAACAGCUAAAAAUUAGAGAAAAAAAAUUAUUUAGAAAAUCAGAAAUUUUUGAAUUAAAUUAAUUUUUUUUACAGACGAGGCUGGGAACUUCUAGCAAUAGUGCUUGCAUUCAUUUUCCCAACAGAAGCGAUCAACGAGAAGCUUAACGAGUUCCUAAACAAGCAUUUGGAUCCAAUAUUCGAUCUUCCAGAAGUCUCAACUUCAUAUUUCUCCCAACAAUGUAUAAAACGGCUGAGCAAAGUGAUUGCUCGACUCAAACCGAGUCUUUCCACAAUUCAAGAGACUAAAAUUCAUAUAUUCCGGCCGCCGCUCUUCUCGGCUUCACUCGAAGAGCUCAUGCAAAUGCAAUCUGAAAAAUUCCCCGAGUUGAAGCUUCCGUGGCUUUUGACUACUCUUAUUGAGCUCCUUUAUCAAUCUGGGGGCCGGAGGACUGAAGGGCUGUUUCGGUACGGGUUUUUGAGUGGAAAAAUUGAGACAAAUUCUAUUUUUCAGCCGAAGUUAUCAGGAAAAAAAGCAAAAAAAUUGAAAAAAAAAGAGAAAAAUGUUUUUUUUUUCAAGUAAAAAAUAUAAAAUUUAGAAAAUUACUUUUAAAAAAAAUUCCAAAAAAGUUGAAAUCAAAUAUUUAUUGACACAUUUUUUUGAAGCAUUCUCUGGAAAAUUCUGAAAAAGCAAUUUUUAAAAUUUAAUAUAUAAUUUUCAAUGUUUUUGUUAAUUUUUUCUAAUAAAAAAAACAAGAAAAACCAAUAAAUUCUUAAAUUUUUUGGAAAAUUGAGAUUUUUUUGACAAAGUGUACGGUUUUCCACAAAAAAUUCGAUUUAAAAAAAAAAUUUUGCUACUGAAAGUCAACAUUAAUUUUUUGUUAAAUGAAAAAUGUUCAGCUUUCAACAAAAAUUAGCAUAAAUAAGAAAAAAUAGGCUUAGUGAUAAGCUUACGCUUAGGCUGAAGCUUAGGCUUGUGCAUAGACUCAGGCUUAAGCUAAGUCUUAGUCUUAGACUUAGGUUUAAGCUAAGUCUUAGUCUUAGACUUAGGUUUAGGCAUUGGCUUGGACUUAGGCUUCGGCUUAGGCCUAUGCAGAGCUGAGGGGGGUUGGAGAAAAAAAAAAGAGAACUUCCCAAUAAUUCCUAAAAAUCCAAAAAAAAUUCGAAUUUCGGAUUUUUUAAUUAAAAAAUAUUUAACCAAAUUCCCAAGGAAAAACCAGUAAAUUUUGAAAUUUUGGAAAAUUAAAUUUUUUUAAAAGUACCGUUUUCCGCAAUAAUUACGAUCAAGGCUGUCAGUUUUUUCGAUUUUUUCAGAAAAUCGAAAAACGAACAUUUUUCGAUUUUUCAAAAAUUAGCUCAAUAUUUUGGCCAUUAUUCUUCUUUUUAGAAGAAAUUUAAAUGUUUUUCUUAUCAAUAAAAACAAAAUUAUGAUAGAUAAAAAAUCAUAUUUUAUGGUUAAAGGUGGACUACGCUCAGUGGAGAAAUUGCUUUAAAACACGUCUAUGGGGCCACAAUGACCGAAUAUCAUGAUAAAAAAAAUUCAAAAAAAUUUUUUAGAUUUUAUAUGAUUUUUUGAAAAUUGGAAAAAUCUCAGUUUUCACCUAAUUAUUUUUGAAUUUCCGCCAAUUGGAUUUGUUCGGUGGAGCGCGCUUGCAUUAUUUUUUAUUAAUUAAUUUUAUUUAUUCUCGUUAUUUGACUGAUUUUCUUCAUUUUCUAUGUUUUUUCCUCGGAAAAUGGAAGAAAUAAACAAGACAAAUAUGCAAAACGUUUGUUAAAAAGUAAUUGAAAAUGAGUAAAAAACUGUGAAAUAUACUAAUUUCAGGCUUGUUGUCGUCGGAACUCAGAAUAUCUGAUUUUUACUCAUUUUCAAUUACUUUUUAACAAACGUUUUGCAUUUGUCUUGUUUAUUUCUUCCAUUUUCCGAGGAAAAACCAUAGAAAAUGAAAAAAAACUCAGUCAAAUAACGAGAAUAAAUAAAAUUAAUUAAUUAAAAUAAUGCAAGCGCGCUCCACCGAACAAAUCCAAUUGGCGGAAAUUCAAAAAUAAUUAGGUGAAAACUGAGAUUUUUCCAAUUUUCAAAAAAUCAUAUAAAAUCUAAAAAAUUUUUUUGAAUUUUUUUAAUCAUAAUAUUCGGUCAUUGUGGCCCCAUAGACGUGUUUUAAAGCAAUUUCUCCACUGAGCGUAGUCCACCUUUAAUUUUCUGAACUUUUUCUUUUUUCGAUUUUUCGAUUUUAACCGAAAAACAUUGAAAAAUGACACCCUUGAUUACGAUAUUUAAAAAUUUUGCGACCUGAAAAAAAAAAUUCGAAUUCGCCCCUAAUUCCACAAUAAGAAUUUCAGAGUUGCCGGGGAUCCAGAACAACUUGCAACAGCUCGAGGACAACUGGACGGUUGGCUCGCCCCAAAAAUGCACGACGCAAAUGUGCCGGCGGGACUUUUAAAACUAUGGCUCCGCCAGCUUCCCGUUCCAUUAAUUCUUCCGACUCUCUAUCAAAGAGCGCUGGUCGCUGCAGAAAAUCCUGCUGAAGCAAUACGAUUAGUCGAUUUAUUACCAGAAAUUAAUCGAUUAGUACUUGUGCGAGUAAUUGCAUUACUACAGGAUUUAAGUCGAGAAGAAGUUGUUGCAAAAACUAAAAUGGAUACUUCUAAUUUGGCAAUGGUUAUUGCUCCGAAUAUUUUGAGGUG
Molecule: small RNA, 9389 nt
Filed under: Caenorhabditis elegans
Lineage: Eukaryota; Metazoa; Nematoda; Chromadorea; Rhabditida; Rhabditidae
Description: Unclassified non-coding RNA Y92H12BL.9
Source: RNAcentral